AUGGAGUUACAGCGUGAGGAUAACGAAAACACAUCUUCUAUGACAUACAGAAGAAUGAAGAAGAAAAAAAAUGCUAGUGCAGUGGAGAGGGUGCCAUGGAAAGGUUAUGCCAGAGGCGAGACGCGUUGCCGGGAGUGCGACAACGGGGGCUUAUGCGUCGCCAAGAGUAAGACGAGGGAAGGCAGAGAUGGAGCGCAGUUGAGUGGGAGACGCACAGCGGAGACGGAGGCGAGCUGGUUCAGUCUUGGAGGCAGAGAGAUGAAGAAAGAAAAUGGUGGGUUCCGUCUUAGAGGCGAAGAGAGAUGA
This is a non-coding RNA of Vicia faba (fava bean), 306 nucleotides long. Lineage: Eukaryota; Viridiplantae; Streptophyta; Magnoliopsida; Fabales; Fabaceae. The record is from the annotation of a GenBank genome assembly.